RNAcentral lists this transfer RNA (72 nucleotides) under Acetes chinensis (northern mauxia shrimp). Its description in RNAcentral is "tRNA-Val". It matches the Rfam family "tRNA". Rfam says of the family: Transfer RNA (tRNA) molecules are approximately 80 nucleotides in length. Lineage: Eukaryota; Metazoa; Arthropoda; Malacostraca; Decapoda; Sergestidae. The record is from RNAcentral. RNAcentral also lists the same sequence under 1 other name.
CAAGAUAAAGCUUAAAUAGUAAAGCAUCUCACUUACAUUGAGAAGUUCUUUGUGCAAAUCAAUGUGUCUUGA